CUGCAUCUAAUCCUCACCAUGACCUGGUAAAUUACUGAUAUUAUUCUUAUUUUGUAGAUAAAGCAACUGUCCAUCAGAAAGGUUGAGUAACUUGACCAAGGUAACACGUCUAAAGGUGAAUCAGGUUUUUGACCACAGAUCUGAUCAACCCCCAAACUCUCAAGACUUGAUUUGCACAAUACCAUUGAGCUGGGAUCAGAAUGCAUUCCUCUUGAUUUCAAGUUCUCAGAUUCUGAAGACCAGGAUUCCUCAUGAAUCUGUCAGCCCUCCUCACCCCAGCUCUGGGCCUCUGUGUCACCACCACUGCCACCUCAUCAUUAUUUUAUUUCAUGCCAAUCACUGGACUAAACACCUUACAGGCUUUAUCACAUUUAAUUCCUUCAACAACACCAAGAGACGGUGUUCAGCCCUGGGUUGAGAAAAAGAGUCUAGAACACCUUUCAAAUGGAAUAUUG
Molecule: long non-coding RNA, 455 nt
Filed under: Gorilla gorilla gorilla (western lowland gorilla)
Lineage: Eukaryota; Metazoa; Chordata; Mammalia; Primates; Hominidae
Description: lncRNA (ENSGGOG00000044385.1)
Source: RNAcentral